UACUAGCCCUGAUUGUAGCGAUAUCCUUUUAUUUUAGUUAGUAGCGGCAGCAUAAAACUAAAAUAAAAGAUACAAGCGGAAAGCAGGAAGUAGC
Molecule: small RNA, 94 nt
Filed under: Flavobacterium weaverense
Lineage: Bacteria; Pseudomonadati; Bacteroidota; Flavobacteriia; Flavobacteriales; Flavobacteriaceae
Description: Flavo-1 RNA
Rfam family: Flavo-1 RNA
Source: RNAcentral